UACGUAGGGUGCGAGCGUUAAUCGGAAUUACUGGGCGUAAAGCGUGCGCAGGCGGUUCGUUAAGUCUGCUGUGAAAGCCCCGGGCUCAACCUGGGAAUGGCAGUGGAAACUGGCGAGCUUGAGUGUGGCAGAGGGGGGUGGAAUUCCACGUGUAGCAGUGAAAUGCGUAGAGAUGUGGAGGAACACCGAUGGCGAAGGCAGCCCCCUGGGCUGACACUGACACUCAGGCACGAAAGCGUGGGGAGCAAACAGG
RNAcentral lists this ribosomal RNA (253 nucleotides) under uncultured bacterium. Its description in RNAcentral is "partial 16S ribosomal RNA". It matches the Rfam family "Bacterial small subunit ribosomal RNA", at positions 524 to 776 of the family's 1533-position model. The record is from RNAcentral.